This 26-nucleotide non-coding RNA is filed under the name Homo sapiens (human). The record is from RNAcentral. Lineage: Eukaryota; Metazoa; Chordata; Mammalia; Primates; Hominidae.
UGAAGAGAUAUUGUAUGAGCUCAUUC